RNAcentral lists this ribosomal RNA (497 nucleotides) under uncultured bacterium. RNAcentral describes it as "partial 16S ribosomal RNA". It matches the Rfam family "Bacterial small subunit ribosomal RNA", at positions 28 to 507 of the family's 1533-position model. The record is from RNAcentral.
GAUGAACGCUGGCGGCGUGCCUAAUACAUGCAAGUCGAGCGAACGGACGAGAAGCUUGCUUCUCUGAUGUUAUCGGCGGACGGGUGAGUAACACGUGGAUAACCUACCUAUAAGACUGGGAUAACUUCGGGAAACCGGAGCUAAUACCGGAUAAUAUUUUGAACCGCAUGGUUCAAAAGUGAAAGACGGUCUUGCUGUCACUUAUAGAUGGAUCCGCGCUGCAUUAGCUAGUUGGUAAGGUAACGGCUUACCAAGGCAACGAUGCAUAGCCGACCUGAGAGGGUGAUCGGCCACACUGGAACUGAGACACGGUCCAGACUCCUACGGGAGGCAGCAGUAGGGAAUCUUCCGCAAUGGGCGAAAGCCUGACGGAGCAACGCCGCGUGAGUGAUGAAGGUCUUCGGAUCGUAAAACUCUGUUAUUAGGGAAGAAAAUAUGUGUAAGUAACUGUGCACAUCUUGACGGUACCUAAUCAGAAAGCCACGGCUAACUACGUG